UACGAAGGGGGCUAGCGUUGUUCGGAUUUACUGGGCGUAAAGCGCUCGUAGGCGGAUCUUUAAGUCAGAGGUGAAAUCCCGGAGCUCAACUCCGGAACUGCCUUUGAUACUGGGGAUCUCGAGUCCGGGAGAGGUGAGUGGAACUGCGAGUGUAGAGGUGAAAUUCGUAGAUAUUCGCAAGAACACCAGUGGCGAAGGCGGCUCACUGGCCCGGAACUGACGCUGAGGAGCGAAAGCGUGGGGAGCAAACAGG
Molecule: ribosomal RNA, 253 nt
Filed under: uncultured bacterium
Lineage: Bacteria
Description: partial 16S ribosomal RNA
Rfam family: Bacterial small subunit ribosomal RNA
Source: RNAcentral